GUGGGUAUAGCUCAGGGGUAGAGUGUGUGCUUAGCAUGCAUGAAGUCCUGGGUUCAACCCCUAGUACCUCCA
This 72-nucleotide transfer RNA is filed under the name Camelus bactrianus (Bactrian camel). It matches the Rfam family "tRNA". Rfam says of the family: Transfer RNA (tRNA) molecules are approximately 80 nucleotides in length. Lineage: Eukaryota; Metazoa; Chordata; Mammalia; Artiodactyla; Camelidae. RNAcentral also lists the same sequence under 1 other name. The record is from Rfam by way of RNAcentral.